Molecule: ribosomal RNA, 119 nt
Filed under: Pteropus alecto (black flying fox)
Lineage: Eukaryota; Metazoa; Chordata; Mammalia; Chiroptera; Pteropodidae
Source: RNAcentral
GUCUACGGCCAUGCCACCCUGAACACGGCGGAUCUCGUCUGAUCUCAGAAGCUAAGCAGGGUUGGGCCUGGUUAGUACUUGGAUGGGAGACCACCUAGGAAUACUAGGUGCUGUAGGCU